AACUGAAACAUCUAAGUAACCGGAGGAAGAGAAAACAAAAGUGAUUCCGUUAGUAGUGGCGAGCGAACGCGGAUUAGCCCAAACCAGUGUUGUUACGGCAAUACUGGGGUUGUAGGACCACGAUAUUCGAAGCUAAGUAAAUUAGAACUGUUUGGAAAGACAGACCACAGAGGGUGAUAGUCCCGUAUAAGUAAGCGAAGUUAAGAUAGUGGUAUCCUGAGUAGUGCGGGACACGAGUAAUCCUGUAUGAAUCCACCGGGACCAUCCGGUAAGGCUAAAUACUCCUGAGAGACCGAUAGUGAACUAGUACCGUGAGGGAAAGGUGAAAAGAACCCUAAGUAAGGGAGUGAAAGAGAUCCUGAAACCGUACGCCUACAAGCGGUCGGAGCACAUUUACUGUGUGACGGCGUGCCUUUUGCAUAAUGAGCCUACGAGUUACUGUUUCUAGCAAGGUUAAAUGAUUAAGUCAUGGAGCCGUAGCGAAAGCGAGUCUGAAUAGGGCGCACAGUUAGUAGUAGUAGACGCGAAACCGAGUGAUCUACCCAUGGGCAGGUUGAAGCUGUGGUAACACACAGUGGAGGACCGAACCAGUUGACGUUGAAAAGUCUUUGGAUGACCUGUGGGUAGGGGUGAAAGGCCAAUCAAACUCGGAAAUAGCUCGUACUCCCCGAAAUGCAUUUAGGUGCAGCGUUGAGCGAAAGUUUUAUAGAGGUAGAGCUACUGAUUGGAUGCGGGGGCUUCACCGCCUACCAAUUCCUGACAAACUCCGAAUGCU
RNAcentral lists this ribosomal RNA (775 nucleotides) under uncultured bacterium. Its description in RNAcentral is "bacterial LSU rRNA". It matches the Rfam family "Bacterial large subunit ribosomal RNA", at positions 191 to 964 of the family's 2925-position model. The record is from RNAcentral.